Long non-coding RNA from Beta vulgaris subsp. vulgaris (sugar beet), 498 nucleotides. RefSeq lists it as uncharacterized. NCBI's taxonomy places the organism in Eukaryota, Viridiplantae, Streptophyta, Magnoliopsida, Caryophyllales, Amaranthaceae. The transcript is spliced from 3 exons. The record is from RefSeq and is a predicted model, not a curated record.
GCAGCUGAUGCAGCAGCUAGCUUAGUAAGCUGCAAUAACCCCUUUUUCGUGUCAAUCUAACCAAAACCAAGGCAUGAAUAGGACGCCAACAUGAUGUACUUCACUCCCACCUCAUGCUUUGCUUGAUAAAAACUUAAAACACAGCUGCCCAGAAGCACACACCACACUCUCUCCAUCUCGCCAGAACCUGCGUCCCUGCCCCUAGGUGAGUCUCUUCAGUUUUUCUUAAAUUUUCUCUUCCUUUAAGCUAGGUUUUCUUACAUAUUAUUGUUAUACACUUGAAUACCCAGAACCUAAGGUCUUUGUUCGUGCUUUAGAGCCAUUAGAAGUUGGUGUUAAAGCCCCUAAUAAGUCAGUAUUUCAAGAUACACCAGUAGUUGGACUAGUUAAGGAGCUUUAAUCAAGGUUUAAGCUAGGAUUUCUAAGUAGUUCCUGAUGAUGCAGGUUUCUAAAGACGUUAUGAUCGUGUCUCUGCUUUUGCUGUGCUCAAGUGAUGAC